GUUUUCAUGAUAGCUGUUUUCAACCCAUCAUUAAUAUGGAAAUGCAGGAUUGCAGGAAAAUAAAGUUCUGUGGGAGCAAUUUCAGUGGAGAGCUGACACAGAUUACAGGCAGUGCGUGAGCCCCACAUGGAGCCCCGAGUGAGCCUCAUCUUGCUCAUCGUGCCGAGAGCUGAUAUGGGUGGUGCAUGCUUUUGUCAUUACGUACAUGUUUCAUGUUGUUCUGGGUUUCAGGUAUGUCAACAUGGUGGAUUGCAACUACCUGCCUUUAUAACUAAAUGCUAUCCAGUAGACAGCUUUCUGAGGAAACUUGAACGUGCGGUAUGAAAAGGCUGACAGCCUCUUUUCUGCACAGCUUUCUGUGCUGCUUCUGUGAGUGGUACAAAGUGUUUGUUGGAAUAAGAAAUGAGCAUGUUUUGAUAGUAUCAAAGUCAAUGUUAAUGUUGUAGGAGCCCUUAUUAAGAUCAGCAGUCACACAGGGCAUGCACAUGCUGCUUAGGGCACCUUCUGGGGUACAGUUCUGGAGCCACUCAUAUGACAGCUGGAAGCAGGCAUAGCUUGGCCAUGCAGUGACAGCUGAUUUCUCACCUAUCCCUGCCCCUAUUCAUACACUCUGCAGUGUCCCAUGGCAGCACAGCACGUCAUGGAAAUGCUGGCUUGUACCUGAACACAUUGCAGUAGUGCUGAUGGGGUUUUUCAAGCAGAGCUUGCUGCCUGGAUCAUCAUGCUACAAGACUGCAGCAGAGCUGCUGCAGUCUUUGGUCUUUCCACCCAUCCCAAGUGCCACUGCAGUGUAGACACAUCUGUUUUGGUCCUCCUUUUAUAAAUAUUUAGCUGUGAAUCAGAGAAUGUUUCAGCAAAUAACUAAAAUCACUGUUGCUGAGGUGUGAAUAACAAGUUCCUAACAGCAACACCUCAGUACAAAGGUCAGAGCAAAUCAUACUGAGGCUAUUAAAAGGACAUAAUAUGCCAGCAGGAAAUGUCUCCCUAUAGUAUCAAGUAAAUCACAAAAUUAUGGAAUCAUAAAAACCGUGACGAGAAAGGACCAGAGUAGUUUUGUAUUAUUCUUUGAAUGUUGCUUCCUCCUUAUGCUGCUCUCACUCUAAUUACUUUCACAUGCUCCUUAUUUUUUUUUUCUCGGUGGUAUAAGUC
RNAcentral lists this long non-coding RNA (1149 nucleotides) under Anas platyrhynchos platyrhynchos (common mallard). Its description in RNAcentral is "lncRNA (ENSAPLG00000018602.1)". Lineage: Eukaryota; Metazoa; Chordata; Aves; Anseriformes; Anatidae. The record is from RNAcentral.